UUUAUGGAGAGUUUGAUCCUGGCUCAGGAUGAACGCUGGCGGCGUGCCUAAUACAUGCAAGUCGAGCGAACGGACGAGAAGCUUGCUUCUCUGAUGUUAGCGGCGGACGGGUGAGUAACACGUGGAUAACCUACCUAUAAGACUGGGAUAACUUCGGGAAACCGGAGCUAAUACCGGAUAAUAUUUUGAACCGCAUGGUUCAAAAGUGAAAGACGGUCUUGCUGUCACUUAUAGAUGGAUCCGCGCUGCAUUAGCUAGUUGGUAAGGUAACGGCUUACCAAGGCAACGAUG
This 291-nucleotide ribosomal RNA is filed under the name Staphylococcus aureus. Its description in RNAcentral is "partial 16S ribosomal RNA". It matches the Rfam family "Bacterial small subunit ribosomal RNA", at positions 1 to 281 of the family's 1533-position model. The record is from RNAcentral. Lineage: Bacteria; Bacillati; Bacillota; Bacilli; Caryophanales; Staphylococcaceae.